RNAcentral lists this ribosomal RNA (119 nucleotides) under Helianthus annuus (common sunflower). The record is from RNAcentral. Lineage: Eukaryota; Viridiplantae; Streptophyta; Magnoliopsida; Asterales; Asteraceae.
GGUUGCGAUCAUACCAGCACUAAUGCACCGGAUCCCAUCAGAACUCCGCAGUUAAGCGUGCUUGGGCGAGAGUAGUACUAGGAUGGGUGACCCCUUGGGAAGUCCUCGUGUUGCAACCC